This 322-nucleotide ribosomal RNA is filed under the name uncultured bacterium. RNAcentral describes it as "bacterial SSU rRNA". It matches the Rfam family "Bacterial small subunit ribosomal RNA", at positions 28 to 355 of the family's 1533-position model. The record is from RNAcentral.
GACGAACGCUGGCGGCGUGCUUAACACAUGCAAGUCGAACGGUAAGGCCCUUCGGGUACGACGAGUGGCGAACGGGUGAGUAACACGUGGUGAUCUGCCCUGCACUUCGGGAUAAGCCUGGGAAACUGGGUCUAAUACCGGAUAGGACCAUGGACUUCACGGUUUGUGGUGGAAAGCUUUUGCGGUGUGGGAUGGGCCCGCGGCCUAUCAGCUUGUUGGUGGGGUAAUGGCCUACCAAGGCGACGACGGGUAGCCGGCCUGAGAGGGUGUCCGGCCACACUGGGACUGAGAUACGGCCCAGACUCCUACGGGAGGCAGCAGU